RNAcentral lists this ribosomal RNA (875 nucleotides) under uncultured bacterium. Its description in RNAcentral is "bacterial SSU rRNA". It matches the Rfam family "Bacterial small subunit ribosomal RNA", at positions 504 to 1398 of the family's 1533-position model. The record is from RNAcentral.
CGUGCCAGCAGCCGCGGUAAUACGAAGGCCCCAAGCGUUAUCCGGAAUUACUGGGUGUAAAGCGUCUGUAGGUGGUUUCAAAGGUUUCGUGUGAAACUUCGGGGCUCAACCCCGAAUUGCACGGAAAACCAUGAAACUUGAGUAUGGGAGAGGCUAGCAGAAUGGUAAGAGUAGGGGUGCAAUCCGUUGAUACUUACCAGAAUACCAAAAGCGAAGGCAGCUAGCUGGAACAUUACUGACACUGAGAGACGAAAGCGUGGGGAGCAAAAGGGAUUAGAUACCCCUGUAGUCCACGCCCUAAACGAUGGAUACUAAGUGUUCCCUUCGGGGAGUGCUUCAAGCUAACGCAUUAAGUAUCCCACCUGAGGAGUACGGCCGCAAGGUUAAAACUCAAAUGAAUAGACGGGGACCCGCACAAGCAGUGGAUCAUGCGGUUUAAUUCGACACUAAACGAGGAACCUCACCUAGGCUUGACAUUGAUAGAAUUUUCCAGAAAUGGAUUAGUGCCCGCAAGGGAACUUGAAAACAGGUGCUGCAUGGUUGUCGUCAGCUCGUGCCUUGAGGUGUUCGGUUAAGUCCGUUAACGAGCGCAACCCAUGUCGUUAGUUACUAUGUCUAACGAGACUGCCUGAGUUAAUCGGGAGGAAGGUGUGGAUGACGUCAAAUCAGCAUGGCCCUUAUGCCUAGGGCUACACACAUAAUACAAUCGCAUCGACAACGGGUCGCGACGGGGUAACCCUGAGCCAAUCCUUCAAACGAUGCGCCAGUUCAGAUUGUGGGCUGCAACUCGCCCACAUGAAGCCGGAAUUGCUAGUAAUCGCGGGUCAGCUAAACCGCGGUGAAUACGUUCUCGUCUCUUGUACACACCGCCCGUC